RNAcentral lists this transfer RNA (74 nucleotides) under Marmota monax (woodchuck). Its description in RNAcentral is "tRNA.Gly". The record is from RNAcentral. Lineage: Eukaryota; Metazoa; Chordata; Mammalia; Rodentia; Sciuridae.
GCGGGAGUUAUGGUUCAGUGGUAGAACACUCGCCUACCACUUGCGAGGCCCUGGGUUUGAUCCUCAGCACCGCA